Long non-coding RNA from Wyeomyia smithii (pitcher-plant mosquito), 265 nucleotides. RefSeq lists it as uncharacterized. The transcript has 3 exons. The record is from RefSeq and is a predicted model, not a curated record. NCBI's taxonomy places the organism in Eukaryota, Metazoa, Arthropoda, Insecta, Diptera, Culicidae.
AAUCAAUGUAGACUACAAUUCUAAUGUAUACGUUAAUCUUAAGCUAUCGAGUUCUAGCACGCGUUCAUGAUGCUGUUAAUUGGUCCAUGUUUGGCGUACAGUGACCGGUAAUUAUUAAUAGUAAAAAUAUUGCGCGUUCUUAAAGGACGAGAAGGAGCAUAAAAGUUAAGAGUUUCCAGCAGAUUUGAGUUUCGAUAUUAAUAAGCAUGCAGCGAGAUUCGUAAGAAGGGAGAGGAUAUGAUGCCCAAUUGAGUUUUCUUAAUGC